UACGGAGGGAGCUAGCGUUGUUCGGAAUUACUGGGCGUAAAGCGCACGUAGGCGGACUCUUAAGUCGGUGGUGAAAUCCUGGAGCUCAACUCCAGAACUGCCUUCGAUACUGAGAGUCUCGAGUCCGGGAGAGGUGAGUGGAACUGCGAGUGUAGAGGUGAAAUUCGUAGAUAUUCGCAAGAACACCAGUGGCGAAGGCGGCUCACUGGCCCGGUACUGACGCUGAGGUGCGAAAGCGUGGGGAGCAAACAGG
This 253-nucleotide ribosomal RNA is filed under the name uncultured bacterium. RNAcentral's name for it is "partial 16S ribosomal RNA". It matches the Rfam family "Bacterial small subunit ribosomal RNA", at positions 524 to 776 of the family's 1533-position model. The record is from RNAcentral.